AGACUGAAGUGAUGGACCAAUUGGUAGUCUCCCUAAACAUCUCCUUGUAGAAAUAUUCACUCGGUUACCAAUCUGUGAGUGGGUUCAAAUAUCAUGUGUCAGCAUGCAUUGGGCAAGUUUAUUUCAAGGAGAAUACUUGUGGCACGAUAUGAUUUUCAGCACAUAAGUGCCACGAUGAUUAUCUAAUUUUUCCCUUAAUUCUUGAACUGCACAUAUGGAUGCAGAUGCUUUUUACUGAGCUUGGAAAGGAACCACCAGCACACUUAUUCCGUCGUCGGCAACAAGUGCAAGUGCAGUUUCACGUAGGUAUAUUCGUCAACUAUGCAUAUAUAACAUAAUUGAAAUGUUGAUAGUGCCAAGAAACUGAUGGCAGUACCUUUUGUAAUUGGGAUGACCUAUUUAAUUAACCUAGAUCCAAAGUGAUGGAACAGAUGGUGCUGGAACCAAUGCUGAUCAAUGUGGAGAUCAAUGACACUGCUAUUGACUUGGAGCCUUGACCAACAAUCUGAUGUUGACAGUGAAGCUGAUGUUGAUCCUAGUAGCGGUGAUGUAUUUAUUUUGAUGCAUGAACCUAGUAGCAUAUGGUGAUGUAUUGACACAAAAUGAUGUGUAGUAUGACUUUUGUGGGUUCUUAUUUGGAUGAAUGCAAUGUGCCGUCGAUCUCAUGCAUUUAAUUGCUGUGCAUAUAUCUUGCUAUUAAAAAACUGAUUUGUAACUAUUUAUUAAAUUUCUGCAGAUCCCAAUUGUGAUUUUUUUUCUGAAUGUGUUCAUUUUUCUGUCGGUUAUUGGACCGUUAGAAAGAAUGUUUUUCUGACGGCAUUAUUUUUUUUUUUGUCGGUUACUGGACUGUCAGAAAACAGAUAUUUCUGUCGGUUGAAACCGACAGAAAUUGUUUUCCUGUCGUUUAGCCGUCAAACUAAAACGCGCCGGGGCAUGUUCCCGUCUGGAUUGACCGGGUGUUAGCUGGGU
RNAcentral lists this long non-coding RNA (969 nucleotides) under Brachypodium distachyon (stiff brome). RNAcentral describes it as "long non-coding RNA (BDIS_LNC006045)". Lineage: Eukaryota; Viridiplantae; Streptophyta; Magnoliopsida; Poales; Poaceae. The record is from RNAcentral.